AUACGGAAGGCAGCAGUGGGGAAUAUUGGACAAUGGAGGCAACUCUGAUCCAGCCAUGCCGCGUGCAGGAAGACUGCCCUAUGGGUUGUAAACUGCUUUUAUACGGGAAGAACCACUCUCACGCGUUGAGGGCUUGACGGUACCGUAUGAAUAAGGAUCGGCUAACUCCGUGCCAGCAGCCGCGGUAAUACGGAGGAUCCAAGCGUUAUCCGGAAUCAUUGGGUUUAAAGGGUCCGUAGGCGGGACAAUAAGUCAGUGGUGAAAGUCUUCCGCUUAACGGGAGAAUUGCCAUUGAUACUGUUGUUCUUGAAUUAGUAUGAAGUGGUUGGAAUGAGUAGUGUAGCGGUGAAAUGCAUAGAUAUUACUCAGAACACCUAUUGCGAAGGCAGAUCACUAAUACUAUAUUGACGCUGAUGGACGAAAGCGUAGGUAGCGAACAGGAUUAGAUACCCUGGUAGA
This 459-nucleotide ribosomal RNA is filed under the name uncultured bacterium. RNAcentral describes it as "bacterial SSU rRNA". It matches the Rfam family "Bacterial small subunit ribosomal RNA", at positions 339 to 794 of the family's 1533-position model. The record is from RNAcentral.